AAGGAGGAAGAGCAAGAGAACAAGGGUUGAAGAAGGGAAAAGCUUGAAGCUAAAGGAUUUGCCGGAUUAACUCAGGUAAGGGGGGUUUAUCGUUGUUUAAUGGGUAUUAUGGAUUAACAUGUGAUGGGUAGUAAUAAGCCAUUGAUUGACUCUAAUUAGGUUUUGAGAAAUACCUUGAAUUGUGAUGAAUGAAUUACGUUAAAAACUGUGAAUGAACCUAUAUUUGGAUGAGUUGUGAUUUUCUGGACGUGUAGCUUUUU
This 260-nucleotide long non-coding RNA is filed under the name Lathyrus oleraceus (garden pea). Its description in RNAcentral is "Pisum sativum (pea) long non-coding RNA (PSAT_LNC019354)". Lineage: Eukaryota; Viridiplantae; Streptophyta; Magnoliopsida; Fabales; Fabaceae. The record is from RNAcentral.